UACGUAGGUGGCGAGCGUUGUCCGGAUUUACUGGGCGUAAAGGGAGCGUAGGCGGACUUUUAAGUGAGAUGUGAAAUACUCGGGCUCAACUUGAGUGCUGCAUUUCAAACUGGAAGUCUAGAGUGCAGGAGAGGAGAAUGGAAUUCCUAGUGUAGCGGCGAAAUGCGUAGAGAUUAGGAAGAACACCAGUGGCGAAGGCGAUUCUCUGGACUGUGACUGACGCUGAGGCUCGAAAGCGUGGGGAGCAAACAGG
Molecule: ribosomal RNA, 253 nt
Filed under: uncultured bacterium
Lineage: Bacteria
Description: partial 16S ribosomal RNA
Rfam family: Bacterial small subunit ribosomal RNA
Source: RNAcentral